RNAcentral lists this transfer RNA (71 nucleotides) under Selenotoca multifasciata. RNAcentral's name for it is "tRNA-Ser". It matches the Rfam family "tRNA". Rfam says of the family: Transfer RNA (tRNA) molecules are approximately 80 nucleotides in length. Their secondary structure includes four short double-helical elements and three loops (D, anti-codon, and T loops). The record is from RNAcentral. Lineage: Eukaryota; Metazoa; Chordata; Actinopteri; Scatophagidae.
AAGAAAGUGGCAGAGCGGUUAUGCGAUUGGCUUGAAACCAACUAACAGGGGUUCAAUUCCCUUCUUUCUCG